Pedobacter cryoconitis is the source of this 35-nucleotide regulatory RNA element. It matches the Rfam family "DUF805b RNA". Rfam says of the family: Bacteroidetes, Chlorobi (1 example), Proteobacteria. Lineage (Flavobacteria) NCBI's taxonomy places the organism in Bacteria, Pseudomonadati, Bacteroidota, Sphingobacteriia, Sphingobacteriales, Sphingobacteriaceae. The record is from Rfam.
UAUGGGGAAGCCGAAAACCUUAAAAAGAGUAGGCG